RNAcentral lists this ribosomal RNA (687 nucleotides) under uncultured bacterium. Its description in RNAcentral is "bacterial SSU rRNA". It matches the Rfam family "Bacterial small subunit ribosomal RNA", at positions 803 to 1501 of the family's 1533-position model. The record is from RNAcentral.
UAAACGAUGUGUGUUAGACGUUGGAAAUUUAUUUUCAGUGUCGCAGCGAAAGCAAUAAACACACCGCCUGGGGAGUACGACCGCAAGGUUAAAACUCAAAUGAAUUGACGGGGACCCGCACAAGUAGUGGAGCAUGUGGUUUAAUUCGAAGAUACGCGCAGAACCUUACCAACACUUGACAUGUUCGUCGCGACUUUAAGAGAUUAAAGUUUUCGGUUCGGCCGGACGAAACACAGGUGCUGCAUGGCUGUCGUCAGCUCGUGUCGUGAGAUGUUGGGUUAAGUCCCGCAACGAGCGCAACCCUCACUUUUAGUUGCCAUCAUUAAGUUGGGCACUCUGAAAGAACUGCCAGUGAUAAGCUGGAGGAAGGUGGGGAUGACGUCAAGUCCUCAUGGCCCUUACGCGUUGGGCUACACACGUGCUACAAUGGUAUCUACAACAGGAAGCAAGACGGCGACGUUAAGCAAAUCCUUAAAAGAUACCUCAGUUCGGAUUGCACUCUGCAACUCGAGUGCAUGAAGCUGGAAUUACUAGUAAUCGUGGAUCAGCGUGCCACGGUGAAUGCGUUCCCGGGUCUUGUACACACCGCCCGUCACACCAUGGGAGUUGGUUCUACCUUAAGGCAAGGUUUAAUACCCUUGACCACGGUAUAGUCAGCGACUGGGGUGAAGUCGUAACAAGGUAACC